This 291-nucleotide long non-coding RNA is filed under the name Elaeis guineensis (African oil palm). Its description in RNAcentral is "long non-coding RNA (EGUI_LNC027657)". The record is from RNAcentral. Lineage: Eukaryota; Viridiplantae; Streptophyta; Magnoliopsida; Arecales; Arecaceae.
AGAUCACCAUGGUGACUUACAAGUAACUCAUUGUAUUUUAAUGUCAGACUAUCUAUAUUUCUAAUAUAGUGAUAAAAGAUUUUUGGACACAGUCAAAAACUUGUGAAGUCUGUGUGUGAGUUAAGAUAGGAUUGACCACUCCUGGUUUCAGGUGUUAAUGCUAUAAUAUGAUGUUUUAAUUUAGUAAAACUUUAUCCAAGAUAAUCCUUGUGAGGAGUCAUAGGAUUUAUAAAGUUAAGACACAAUUCGAAUGUACUGAUUAAGAGUUGAUAGUUUAACUCUGAAGUCAUC